Corticium candelabrum is the source of this 796-nucleotide long non-coding RNA. RefSeq lists it as uncharacterized. NCBI's taxonomy places the organism in Eukaryota, Metazoa, Porifera, Homoscleromorpha, Homosclerophorida, Plakinidae. The transcript has 4 exons. The record is from RefSeq and is a predicted model, not a curated record.
UACAGUUCCGUGUUAAGAAAGCUCUCGGCGUGGUUUUGAGUUGGUUCCUUUGCAAUGCCCUGUUGUUCUGCGUGGGGAUGCUCGAAUAGAUCAGAGAUGGGAUCUAGGAUGUUUGUGUUUCCCCGUAAUCCAGCUCUGGGAGGCAAGAGUGAAACGAAAGAACUGGGCGGCAUCGUCAUCGUCGUUUCUUUGUGAGGGUCCACUUUGAUGUGUCUCAGUUUGAAUGUAAGAGAUUGAUGGGAAGAGGAAACUGGCUGUGCCUACAAUUUUUUCUCACCGAACGAGUUCCUGCUCAGAGAAAGCCUCCGACUGAAAGAAGUGCCCCGUCAAUCCCAGCAGCUCCAUCUGACCACACCUAUUGUGAACAUGGUCAACUAUCACCUGUGAAGGUGGGUCAGAGUCCCGGUCUGAUGACCGUCUCCUUCUGUUCACGCAUGCACAUACUUGGGCUCUGAUCCUCACGCCUGGGCCAGACUUUCCCUCCAGCAAGUCUAACGAAGCUCGUCCAGUGGAGGUAUCUGACGGCGAAGUUACCUGGUGAUACAUAAGACUAUGAAUAUCCGACAAAGGUAUGGUAUCAACUGAUCUUGAACAAGCACUAGAUGAAGAGGUACCUAGUACUGAAGUUGGUGUGUCUGCUAUGUACUAUAAAAAAUAUAGUAUACAGAAUCAAAAGAACUGGAGCUGUAGUUAGAUUAUUUAGUUAUGUCUACCUCAGCUGCAGCAUACGUAGUAUAGUGAUGAUUAUCAGGCGUCGAUUUGUAAGUGGUCAUGUUACACAGUAAGCAGAAACAAU